RNAcentral lists this ribosomal RNA (495 nucleotides) under uncultured bacterium. RNAcentral's name for it is "partial 16S ribosomal RNA". It matches the Rfam family "Bacterial small subunit ribosomal RNA", at positions 28 to 507 of the family's 1533-position model. The record is from RNAcentral.
GAUGAACGCUGGCGGCGUGCCUAAUACAUGCAAGUAGAACGCUGAAGGAGGAGCUUGCUCUUCUGGAUGAGUUGCGAACGGGUGAGUAACGCGUAGGUAACCUGCCUGGUAGCGGGGGAUAACUAUUGGAAACGAUAGCUAAUACCGCAUGACAACAGUUAUUGCAUGAUAACUGUUUAAAAGGGGCAACUGCUCCACUACCAGAUGGACCUGCGUUGUAUUAGCUAGUUGGUGAGGUAACGGCUCACCAAGGCGACGAUACAUAGCCGACCUGAGAGGGUGAUCGGCCAAACUGGGACUGAGACACGGCCCAGGAUCCUAAGGGAGGCAGCCGUAGGGGAACUUCGGCCAAGGACGGAAGGCUGACCGAGCAACGCCGGGUGAGGGAAGAAGGGUCUCGGAUCGUAAAAGUCUGUUGUAAGAGAAGGAAGAGUGUGAGAGUGAAAAGUUCACACUGUGACGGUAUCUUACCAGAAAGGGACGGCUAACUACGUG